RNAcentral lists this ribosomal RNA (772 nucleotides) under uncultured Alphaproteobacteria bacterium. RNAcentral describes it as "bacterial SSU rRNA". It matches the Rfam family "Bacterial small subunit ribosomal RNA", at positions 54 to 874 of the family's 1533-position model. The record is from RNAcentral. Lineage: Bacteria; Pseudomonadati; Pseudomonadota; Alphaproteobacteria.
CAUGCAAGUCGAACGAAGUAGCAAUACUUAGUGGCAGACGGGUGAGUAACAUGUGGGUAUCUACCCUUUGGCCUGGAAUAACACGAGGAAACUUGUGCUAAUACCGGAUAAGUCUUUACGGAGAAAGCUUUAUGCACCAUUGGAUGAGCCCGCACUUGAUUAGUUUGUUGGUGGGGUAAUGGCCUACCAAGACUGUGAUCAAUAGCUGAUUUGAGAGGAUGAUCAGCCACAUUGGGACUGAGACACGGCCCAAACUCCUACGGGAGGCAGCAGUGGGGAAUCUUGCACAAUGGAGGAAACUCUGAUGCAGCGAUGCCGCGUGAGUGAAGAAGGCCCUUGGGUUGUAAAGCUCUUUCGUCGGGGAAGAAAAUGACUGUACCCGAAUAAGAAGGUCCGGCUAACUUCGUGCCAGCAGCCGCGGUAAUACGAAGGGACCUAGCGUAGUUCGGAAUUACUGGGCUUAAAGAGUUCGUAGGUGGUUGAAAAAGUUAGUGGUGAAAUCCCAGAGCUUAACUCUGGAACUGCCAUUAAAACUUUUCAGCUAGAGUAUGAUAGAGGAAAGCAGAAUUUCUAGUGUAGAGGUGAAAUUCGUAGAUAUUAGAAAGAAUACCAAUUGCGAAGGCAGCUUUCUGGAUCAUUACUGACACUGAGGAACGAAAGCAUGGGUAGCGAAGAGGAUUAGAUACCCUCGUAGUCCAUGCCGUAAACGAUGUGUGUUAGACGUUGGAAAUUUAUUUUCAGUGUCGCAGCGAAAGCGAUAAACACACCGCCU